GACGAACGCUGGCGGCGUGCCUAACACAUGCAAGUCGAGCGGGGUUGAAGCGAGGGGUAACUCGAACUUCUACCUAGCGGCGGACGGGUGAGUAACGCGUGGGCAACCUGCCUCAAGGUCUGGGAUAACAGCUCGAAAGGGCUGCUAAUACCGGAUAUGCCUAUAGCCUCGCAUGGGGCUAUGAGCAAAGGGGAAACCCGCCUUGAGAUGGGCCCGCGUCCCAUCAGCUAGUUGGUGAGGUGAAGGCUCACCAAGGCGACGACGGGUAGCCGGCCUGAGAGGGUGACCGGCCACACUGGGACUGAGACACGGCCCAGACUCCUACGGGGGGCAGCAGUGGGGAAUCUUGCACAAUGGGCGAAAGCCUGAUGCAGCGACGCCGCGUGAGCGAAGAAGGCCUUCGGUGUAAGCUCUGUCUGGAGGGACGAAGAAGUGACGGUACCUCCGGAGGAAGCCACGGCUAACUACGUGCCAGCAGCCGCGGUAAAACGUAG
This 494-nucleotide ribosomal RNA is filed under the name uncultured bacterium. Its description in RNAcentral is "bacterial SSU rRNA". It matches the Rfam family "Bacterial small subunit ribosomal RNA", at positions 28 to 530 of the family's 1533-position model. The record is from RNAcentral.